This 460-nucleotide ribosomal RNA is filed under the name uncultured bacterium. RNAcentral describes it as "partial 16S ribosomal RNA". It matches the Rfam family "Bacterial small subunit ribosomal RNA", at positions 338 to 795 of the family's 1533-position model. The record is from RNAcentral.
CCUACGGGUCGCAGCAGUGAGGAAUAUUGGUCAAUGGACGAGAGUCUGAACCAGCCAAGUAGCGUGAAGGAUGACUGCCCUAUGGGUUGUAAACUUCUUUUAUAUGGGAAUAAAAUGUUCCACGUGUGGGAUUUUGUAUGUACCCUAUGAAUAAGGAUCGGCUAACUCCGUGCCAGCAGCCGCGGUAAUACGGAGGAUCCGAGCGUUAUCCGGAUUUAUUGGGUUUAAAGGGAGCUUAGGUGGAUUGUUAAGUCAGUUGUGAAAGUUUGCGGCUCAACCGUAAAAUUGCAGUUGAAACUGGCAGUCUUGAGUACAGUAGAGGUGGGCGGAAUUCGUGGUGUAGCGGUGAAAUGCUUAGAUAUCACGAAGAACUCCGAUUGCGAAGGCAGUUCACUGGACUGCAACUGACACUGAGGCUCGAAAGUGUGGGUAUCAAACAGGAUUAGAUACCCCAGUAGUC